RNAcentral lists this ribosomal RNA (253 nucleotides) under uncultured bacterium. RNAcentral's name for it is "partial 16S ribosomal RNA". It matches the Rfam family "Bacterial small subunit ribosomal RNA", at positions 524 to 776 of the family's 1533-position model. The record is from RNAcentral.
UACGGAGGAUGCGAGCGUUAUCCGGAUUUAUUGGGUUUAAAGGGUGCGUAGGUGGGAAAGUAAGUCAGAGGUGAAAGCCAGCAGCUCAACUGUUGAAUUGCCUUUGAUACUGCUAUCCUUGAGUAUUGUUGGAGUUGGCGGAAUGUGACAUGUAGCGGUGAAAUGCUUAGAUAUGUCCCAGAACACCGAUCGCGAAGGCAGCUAACUAAGCAAUUACUGACACUGAUGCACGAAAGCGUGGGGAGCAAACAGG